UACGGAGGGGGCUAGCGUUGUUCGGAAUUACUGGGCGUAAAGCGCGCGUAGGCGGUUCCACUAGUCAGGCGUGAAAGCCCCGGGCUCAACCCGGGAAUAGCGCUUGAUACUUUGGAGCUAGAGUCCGGGAGAGGAGAGUGGAAUUCCCAGUGUAGAGGUGAAAUUCGUAGAUAUUGGGAAGAACACCGGUGGCGAAGGCGGCUCUCUGGACCGGUACUGACGCUCUGGCGCGAAAGCGUGGGGAGCAAACAGGAUUAGAUACCCUGGUAGUCCACGCUGUAAACGAUGAGUGCUAGAUGUUGGGGGGCCUAGCCCUUCAGUGUCGCAGCUAACGCAUUAAGCACUCCGCCUGGGGAGUACGGCCGCAAGGCUA
Molecule: ribosomal RNA, 373 nt
Filed under: uncultured prokaryote
Description: bacterial SSU rRNA
Rfam family: Bacterial small subunit ribosomal RNA
Source: RNAcentral